UGACAGCUUGAGUAUAUGUUAUCCGAGAUCUUCACAGAGGGAAUGGGCUCAUAUCCCCUUUGUAAGUAACCAAUUGCAGUUGAUAUAAAAAAAUAUAUAAAAAGAAGAUGUGGUAUGAUUGCCAAUGAGACAACUCUCCACAAGAGACCAAAAUGACACAAAAUUUAACAAGUAUAGUUUACUCUUGUAUAACAUACGUAUAUAUCAUACAUGUUAUGUUAUUGGCCAUGUUCACGAUUUCCGAUUUCACAUUUUUGCAAAGAAUUUCAAUGACUCAGGAGAAAAACAUAAACAAUCAAUUAUGCAAUACAGCUAACAAUUUGUCUGACAAUAUUCUGUUCAACCAACUACAUGUUAAAAAGUGAUCUCAAGUCUCAGACGAAAUGGUAAAAAAUGAUACAAAAAAAAAUGUUCAUAUGAAAUAAAAGAGUUCUGUCUGUUCUUUAAUUACAGUGUGUCCACCAUUCACUCACAAUUCUUA
RNAcentral lists this long non-coding RNA (481 nucleotides) under Mytilus galloprovincialis (Mediterranean mussel). Lineage: Eukaryota; Metazoa; Mollusca; Bivalvia; Mytilida; Mytilidae. The record is from RNAcentral.